This 776-nucleotide non-coding RNA is filed under the name Staphylinidae sp. BMNH 1274255. The record is from RNAcentral. Lineage: Eukaryota; Metazoa; Arthropoda; Insecta; Coleoptera; Staphylinidae.
AAAAAGUUUUAUUCUAGCUUAGAAAAUUAGUAUGUAAUUUAUUUAUAUGUAAAUUUUAGUGUUUAAAUAUUUUAUUUUAAAAAGGUAUAAUAUUAAAUUUUUUAUUUUCAGUAUAUAAUUUUAAAUAUUGCAGGCAUGUAUAUUUAGAAAUUUAUAAUAAUUUUAACAAAAUUUGUGCCAGCAGUUGCGGUUACACAAAUAAAAUAAUUAAUUUUUUUUGAUUUAUAAUUAAAUGAUUUAAGAUAAUAUAAUUUUUGAUUUAUUAGGUGAAAUUUUAAAUUUAAAUUUUUUAUAUUAAAUGUGUUGAAGUUAUUAAAUUUUAGUAAAAACUAGGAUUAGAUACCCUAUUAUUAAAAUGUAAAUUUUUUAAUUUAAUUAUUAAAAGUUAUAUUCUUUAAAGUUAAAGAUUUUGGCGGUAUUUUAGUCUUUUCAGAGGAACCUGUUCUAUAAUUGAUAUUCCACGAUUAGAAUUACUUAUUUUAAAAAUUUAUAUAUCGUCGUAAUUGAAAAUUUUAAAAGAAUUAUAAUUUUCAUGAUUUUUUAUAAUAAAGUAAAUCAGAUCAAGGUGUAGUUUAUAAAUAAGAAGAAAUGGGUUACAAUAAAUUUAUUAUUUGAAUUAUUAAUUUAAAAUUAAUAUGAAAAUGGAUUUGAAAGUAAUAUAUUAAAUUUAUUUUAUAUGAUUUAAGCUCUAAAAUAUGUACAUAUCGCCCGUCGCUCUCAUUUAAAUUGAGAUAAGUCGUAACAAAGUAAAUGUACUGGAAAGUGUAUUUAGAUUU